Molecule: long non-coding RNA, 1089 nt
Organism: Felis catus (domestic cat)
Lineage: Eukaryota; Metazoa; Chordata; Mammalia; Carnivora; Felidae
Exons: 2
Source: RefSeq, a predicted model, not a curated record
GAACCUGGAGCCUGCUUCGGAUUCUGUGUCUCCCUCUCUCUCUACCCCUCCCCCACCAUUCAUGCUCUGUCUCUCUCUCUCUCAAAAAUGAAUAAACAUUAAAAAAAAAAAUACUUAAUAGAACCAGAGGAAAAAUAACACACUUCUGUGGGUCCCAGAUGCUGGGGUUGGUUUGGGGGAAUCACCAAGUCAAACAGUGGGGACACACACUGUGGCUCUGGAGCAGCUAGGAGGCAUAGGGGGUGUCUGGUCUGGCCCACCCAGCACAUGGUGGCAGGAGGGGGCAUGACUCUCAUGGGCCACAGCAUCCCAAAGCUGCAAAUGCUUUUCACAACAAGUUGAUUGGGGGGGGGGGGGACAUGUACAUGUAAAUAACUCGAGAAAAUCCAAAACUACUAUCCUAGGACCCCACCCUCCCCUUUCCAAAAGGUCCUUGUUUCAAACCCACAAUCAGCACAAGGUAGGGCUUACGGAGCGAGGUUCCUGGUUGGCUCCCUGACCUGCCACUUGCCAGCUGGGUGAGAUGCGGGGCAGCUUACUCCCCUCUGGGCCUCCACAAAGAGCCACAGUGACGGGACUAUCCUCACGCAGUUGCUAGAAUUGUCCAUGAGGUGGAACCAGAGGAAAUGACUGGGGAAAAAACCCCAAGAGUUGAAGAGCAGCAGGGAAAGCAUUCGGCGUGUGAGCCCCUCCCUGUGGCGCCACCACAAGGGUGCAGCCUCCGGAAUCACUGCUGCCAACAGCUGCUGUCCUUCUGAGGUACGACCUCCUGCAGUCCCCCCAAAAGGUCUAGCCUCAGCCCUCCCUACCGUGUCCUUCACACUGAAGCCCCACCCUUCACACCCAGGCCCUGUGCUUGGCUCGCUGCCCAACCCACAGUAGCCCCCGACACGACACAACCGAAACACUACAAAUAGACAAUCAGCUCAGGAAGAUGACACAGAUGUGGGGACGAUGGUGAUGAUGGUUAUAUGACGGUGUGAAUAUACUUAAUGCCACUGGACAGGAUGCUCACUUUAAGAUGGUUAAGAUCGUCAAGUUUACGUUAGGUUUAUUUUAUCACAAAAAAAAAAAAAAAAACGGGUGACG